UGGGGAAUUUUGGACAAUGGGGGAAACCCUGAUCCAGCCAUGCCGCGUGAGUGAAGAAGGCCUUCGGGUUGUAAAGCUCUUUUGGACGGAAAGAAAUCGCUUCGGCCAAUACCCGGAGUGGAUGACGGUACCGUAAGAAGAAGCACCGGCUAAAUAUGUGCCAGCAGCCGCGGUAAUACGUAGGGUGCGAGCGUUAAUCUGAAUUAUUGGGCGUAAAGCGUGCGCAGGCGGUUUUCUAAGACAGGUGUGAAAUCCCCGGGCUUAACCUGGGAAAUGCGCUUGUGACUGGCAGGGUAGAGUACGGUUGAGGGGGGUGGAAUUUCACGUGUAGCAGUGAAAUGCGUAGAGAUGUGGAGGAACACCGAUGGCGAAGGCAGCCCCCUGGGCCUGUACUGACGCUCAUGCACGAAAGCGUGGGGAGCAAACAGGAUUAGAUACCCCGGUAGUCCACGCCCUAAACGAUGUCGA
This 468-nucleotide ribosomal RNA is filed under the name uncultured bacterium. Its description in RNAcentral is "bacterial SSU rRNA". It matches the Rfam family "Bacterial small subunit ribosomal RNA", at positions 355 to 815 of the family's 1533-position model. The record is from RNAcentral.